Molecule: unclassified non-coding RNA, 332 nt
Filed under: Hevea brasiliensis (rubber tree)
Lineage: Eukaryota; Viridiplantae; Streptophyta; Magnoliopsida; Malpighiales; Euphorbiaceae
Source: RNAcentral
AAGUGACGAAAAAUUUUUUUUAUUAGUCUGAGCCAUUGUCAACUUUCCUCUCCAAGACUCCUCUCACUCUGCCUCUGCAUCUCUCUCUCUCUCUCUCUCUCUCUCUUGCUUUCUCUGAUUCUCUCUACCCCUCUGCUUCUCAGAGCCCUAAUGUUACCUUUCCCUCUCUCAAGAGCACUCAAUCUCGGAUUUUUUACUCUCUGCGGAAUGAUCCAUCAAUCUCUUGCCAUUUCUUGUUCUUCAAUUCCAAUGCGUCUCUGAUUUUCUCUCCGCAUUUGAUUUGCUUCCUCUCUUACUAGGGUUUCCUCCCCCCCCCCCCCCCCCCCCCCCCC